AUGGACCGGGGUCUCGGUCAACGUGCUCCAUGGCCAGGCAGAGGCGUAUCUGUGCAUGAGCUGACACUCCUUCAACAUAGCUCAGAAAGGGGCUUAUGGCCUCAGGCUGAGCUGGAAUGGAGCCUUCAGGUGUGGGGAAAAGCUACAAGUGAGACUGGUGGAGAGGCAAUAUCAGGCUAAACAAUGGAAAGAAGUUUACCAAAUCACUAUGUAUGUCAAAGUUCCUGGAAGAGGUAAAUUUCAGUUUAAAGGAGGUCAGAGUAACCCUUGCAACUAGAACAAAGCAGGUGAGUUGGCUAUUUUUUUUUUUUUUACCCUUGCCUUUUUUUUUUUUUUAAAGGUCUUUAUUUCGUUAUCUUUUUAAUAUCACAGGCAAAGAAAUGUGUCCUGUUUAGUUCUCCUUCUGUUAAGUUGCCCACUUACCAGCAUUAAAUUCUUUACAGACCUCAUUCCAGAGUCAACAGAAGAUGGAGUCAGAUGCUUUAUGUUACAUACACUGAAGGUAUGUUCACUGUAACUUCUGGAGCAUGGAAACAAGGCAAUAACAGGAAGCCGGGACAAAUGAGAAACUAAAAAAAUCUAGUUCCAAAGAGUUAUAAAACUUCUUUCUAGCUUGGAUUUUAUUUUUGGAUUUAUCCAAAUUUCUCUUUCUUUGACAUUUUUUGUACCCUAUAAGAAGCAUAGGUUAUACAGGUAUGGAAAAAUAGUGCAUAAAUUAGGCUUGCACAGCCUGAAGGACAAUGCACUGUUUUCAACAACAUGACUGGUGUCAUGGUCUCACACUGAAAAAGGAAUUUUAUAUGUUUAUGUUAAAAAUGUUUAUGUUAAAUAGAGUCUCCUACUUCACUAGCUCUUUCCAUACACAACUUUGAAACUCCUGUAGCCAGGAUUUGUACUUCCUUAUUGGGCUCCAUGCUGAAAGAAAAGUUGCUAAAUGCUCUGCUCGCUGUAUGUGACUAACUCUUCUGGCCUUUUCUUAAUACUGGAUUAUGUGGUGUCUAAUCACUGGACCAAUACAAAAUCACUUGCCCUGUAAUAUUAACAUAUUAUCAGUCCGAUCUCUUUUGCACAAACACAAUGAUUUUCAAAUAUUGGAUCAAAGUUGAAACUCGGAAUGCUUACUAACUAGCAAACUGGUUAUAUGAAAAAUAUGAAAGGCUAGUGAAAUAAAGAUGAAAUGCUAUCGUUAUUUCA
This 1194-nucleotide long non-coding RNA is filed under the name Anser cygnoides (Swan goose). RNAcentral describes it as "lncRNA (ENSACDG00005012348.1)". Lineage: Eukaryota; Metazoa; Chordata; Aves; Anseriformes; Anatidae. The record is from RNAcentral.